This 163-nucleotide ribosomal RNA is filed under the name uncultured bacterium. RNAcentral describes it as "partial 16S ribosomal RNA". It matches the Rfam family "Bacterial small subunit ribosomal RNA", at positions 1339 to 1500 of the family's 1533-position model. The record is from RNAcentral.
UAAUGGCAGGUCAGCAUACUGCCGUGAAUACGUUCCCGGGGCCUUGUACACACCGCCCGUCACACCAUGAGAGUUGGGGAUACCCGAAGCCUGUGAGCUAACAGUAAUGGAGCAGCAGUCGAAGGUAGAAUCAAUGAUUGGGGUGAAGUCGUAACAAGGUACC